GAUUGAACGCUGGCGGCAGGCUUAACACAUGCAAGUCGAACGGUAACAGGAGAAAGCUUGCUUUCUUGCUGACGAGUGGCGGACGGGUGAGUAAUGCUUGGGAAUCUGGCUUAUGGAGGGGGAUAACGACGGGAAACUGUCGCUAAUACCGCGUAGAGUCGAGAGACGAAAGUGCGGGACCGCAAGGCCGCAUGCCAUAGGAUGAGCCCAAGUGGGAUUAGGUAGUUGGUGGGGUAAWRGCCUACCAAGCCGACGAUCUCUAGCUGGUCUGAGAGGAUGACCAGCCACACCGGGACUGAGACACGGCCCGGACUCCUACGGGAGGCAGCAGUGGGGAAUAUUGCGCAAUGGGGGCAACCCUGACGCAGCCAUGCCGCGUGAAUGAAGAAGGCCUUCGGGUUGUAAAGUUCUUUCGGUAUUGAGGAAGGUUGUUGUGUUAAUAGCACGACAAAUUGACGUUAAAUACAGAAGAAGCACCGGCUAACUCCGU
Molecule: ribosomal RNA, 490 nt
Filed under: Aggregatibacter sp. 'ARUP UnID 111'
Lineage: Bacteria; Pseudomonadati; Pseudomonadota; Gammaproteobacteria; Pasteurellales; Pasteurellaceae
Description: bacterial SSU rRNA
Rfam family: Bacterial small subunit ribosomal RNA
Source: RNAcentral